Molecule: long non-coding RNA, 285 nt
Organism: Macrobrachium nipponense
Lineage: Eukaryota; Metazoa; Arthropoda; Malacostraca; Decapoda; Palaemonidae
Exons: 3
Source: RefSeq, a predicted model, not a curated record
GUCUACAAACGUGUUCCAGUGCUGUCUUCUCCAGCAUCAAAGAGUUACUCAGUAAAGAUGAAUGCGCAGGAGCUAACAUCUGCCAUGCCAACGCAGAUUGCAUCGAUGGUGUCCUGAGCUACAGAUGCAACUGCAGACCAGGUUACCAAGGAAAUGGAUUUACUUGCAGUGACAUAGAUGAGUGCUCUACCGGUAGUCACAAGUGUCAUAGCCGAGCUAAUUGUACCAAUACCAUUGGAGGCUACACCUGUCGUUGCAGACCACCAUAUUCAGGCAACGGUUAUA